GACGAACGCUGGCGGCGUGCUUAACACAUGCAAGUCGAACGGACAGGCCCUGCUUUUGUGGGGUGCUCGAGUGGCGAACGGGUGAGUAACACGUGAGUAACCUACCCUUGACUUUGGGAUAACUUCAGGAAACUGGGGCUAAUACCGGAUAGGAGCUCCUGCUGCAUGGUGGGGGUUGGAAAGUUUCGGCGGUUGGGGAUGGACUCGCGGCUUAUCAGCUUGUUGGUGGGGUAGUGGCUUACCAAGGCUUUGACGGGUAGCCGGCCUGAGAGGGUGACCGGCCACAUUGGGACUGAGAUACGGCCCAGACUCCUACGGGAGGCAGCAGUGGGGAAUAUUGCACAAUGGGCGGAAGCCUGAUGCAGCAACGCCGCGUGCGGGAUGACGGCCUUCGGGUUGUAAACCGCUUUCGCCUGUGACGAAGCGUGAGUGACGGUAAUGGGUAAAGAAGCACCGGCUAACUACGUG
This 468-nucleotide ribosomal RNA is filed under the name uncultured bacterium. Its description in RNAcentral is "partial 16S ribosomal RNA". It matches the Rfam family "Bacterial small subunit ribosomal RNA", at positions 28 to 507 of the family's 1533-position model. The record is from RNAcentral.